This 871-nucleotide ribosomal RNA is filed under the name Weissella confusa. Its description in RNAcentral is "bacterial SSU rRNA". It matches the Rfam family "Bacterial small subunit ribosomal RNA", at positions 48 to 872 of the family's 1533-position model. Lineage: Bacteria; Bacillati; Bacillota; Bacilli; Lactobacillales; Lactobacillaceae. The record is from RNAcentral.
CUAAUACAUGCAAGUCGAACGCUUUGUGGUUCAACUGAUUUGAAGAGCUUGCUCAGAUAUGACGAUGGACAUUGCAAAGAGUGGCGAACGGGUGAGUAACACGUGGGAAACCUACCUCUUAGCAGGGGAUAACAUUUGGAAACAGAUGCUAAUACCGUAUAACAAUGACAACCGCAUGGUUGUUAUUUAAAAGAUGGUUCUGCUAUCACUAAGAGAUGGUCCCGCGGUGCAUUAGCUAGUUGGUAAGGUAAUGGCUUACCAAGGCGAUGAUGCAUAGCCGAGUUGAGAGACUGAUCGGCCACAAUGGGACUGAGACACGGCCCAUACUCCUACGGGAGGCAGCAGUAGGGAAUCUUCCACAAUGGGCGAAAGCCUGAUGGAGCAACGCCGCGUGUGUGAUGAAGGGUUUCGGCUCGUAAAACACUGUUGUAAGAGAAGAAUGACAUUGAGAGUAACUGUUCAAUGUGUGACGGUAUCUUACCAGAAAGGAACGGCUAAAUACGUGCCAGCAGCCGCGGUAAUACGUAUGUUCCAAGCGUUAUCCGGAUUUAUUGGGCGUAAAGCGAGCGCAGACGGUUAUUUAAGUCUGAAGUGAAAGCCCUCAGCUCAACUGAGGAAUUGCUUUGGAAACUGGAUGACUUGAGUGCAGUAGAGGAAAGUGGAACUCCAUGUGUAGCGGUGAAAUGCGUAGAUAUAUGGAAGAACACCAGUGGCGAAGGCGGCUUUCUGGACUGUAACUGACGUUGAGGCUCGAAAGUGUGGGUAGCAAACAGGAUUAGAUACCCUGGUAGUCCACACCGUAAACGAUGAGUGCUAGGUGUUUGAGGGUUUCCGCCCUUAAGUGCCGCAGCUAACGCAUUAAGCACUCCGC